GACGAACGCUGGCGGCGUGCUUAACACAUGCAAGUCGAACGGAAAGGCCCUGCUUGCAGGGUACUCGAGUGGCGAACGGGUGAGUAACACGUGGGUGAUCUGCCCUGCACUUCGGGAUAAGCCUGGGAAACUGGGUCUAAUACCGGAUAGGAGCCAAUUUCAGUGUGAUGGUUGGAAAGUUUUUUCGGUGUAGGAUGAUCUCGCUGGCUAUCAGCUUGUUGGUGGGGUAAUGGCCUACCAAGGCGGCGACGGGUAGCCCGCCUGAGAGGGUGGACGGCCCAAUGGGGACAGGGCUACGGCCCGCACCACUGCGGGAGGCAGCAGUGGGGAAUAUUGCAAGAUGGGGGCAAGCCGGGUGCAGGAGGGCCGCGUGGGGAGUGACGGCCUUCGGUUUUAAAACUCUUUUCGCAGGGACGGAAGUUUUUUUGAACGGUACCUAGAAAAAAGGCACCGCCAAACUAGGU
RNAcentral lists this ribosomal RNA (464 nucleotides) under uncultured bacterium. Its description in RNAcentral is "partial 16S ribosomal RNA". It matches the Rfam family "Bacterial small subunit ribosomal RNA", at positions 28 to 506 of the family's 1533-position model. The record is from RNAcentral.